This is a long non-coding RNA of Talpa occidentalis (Iberian mole), 608 nucleotides long. RefSeq lists it as uncharacterized. Lineage: Eukaryota; Metazoa; Chordata; Mammalia; Eulipotyphla; Talpidae. The record is from RefSeq and is a predicted model, not a curated record. The transcript has 3 exons.
UCGUCACCGCCGCGGCCGCUCGUCACCUGAGAGCACUCUGGGGGUUGUAGUUUUCUGGCUCACUCUAGACAGGCCUGAAGAAGAGGUGGCUGUGUGGACUAAAACUACAACUCCCAUGAAGCCUAGCGGCGCAACGCGCAUUGUGUGGCGGGAGUGCCCUCUGAGACUCCGCCCUCCUCGGCGGGUGAAGCUUUUCUGCGGGAUUGUUGCAAUCUGGAAGGCUAAUUCUUCAAGUUAACGGAAAACAUAUGAGAUGUUAGAGACCACAUAAUUUUAUGAGAUUUUAUUCCGUUUCAGAUACAGAAGAUUAUAGGUGUAAUCCCCAUAAAAAUCUCAAAAAACAGAUGACUGGAUCAAGAAGAUGUGGUAUAUGUACACAAUGGAAUACUACUCAACAAUCAAAAAAGAUAAACUCAUGUAAUUCACAGCAACAUGGAUGGAGAUAGAAAAGAUUAUGCUCAGUGAAAUAAAUCAGAAGAAAAAGGAAAAAUUUUGAAUGGCUUCACUUAUAGGAGGAAUAUGGGGGUCAGAAAAAAAAGACAAAAGUAAUAUAUAAAGUUAACACAAACCUCAUCAAAUUACCAACAAUAUUCUUUAAAGAAAUUGAA